Molecule: ribosomal RNA, 433 nt
Filed under: uncultured bacterium
Lineage: Bacteria
Description: partial 16S ribosomal RNA
Rfam family: Bacterial small subunit ribosomal RNA
Source: RNAcentral
AACGAACGCUGGCGGCAGGCCUAACACAUGCAAGUCGAGGGAUACCUUCGGGUCUAGUGGCGCACGGGUGGGUGACUCGUGGGAACCUGCCCUUAGGUUCGGAAUAACUCCCCGAGAGGGGUGCUAAUAUCGGAUAAUGUGUUCUGACCGAAGAUUUCUUGCCUUUGGCUGGGCCCGCGUUGGAUUAGCUAGUUGGUAGGGUAAAGGCCUACGAAGGGGACGUUCCAUCGCUGGUAUGGGAGGAUGAUCAGCGACACUGGGACUGAGACACGGCCCAGUCGGCUACAGGGGGCAGCAGUGGGGAAUAUGGGCCAAUGGGCGCACGUGUGAGACAGCAAUGCCGUGGGAGUGAUGCAGCCCUUAGGAUUGUAAAGUUCUGUUAACCGGGAUGAUAAUGACAGUACCGGGCGAAUAAGCUCCGGCUAACUCCGUG